This 55-nucleotide transfer RNA is filed under the name Pristionchus pacificus. RNAcentral's name for it is "tRNA-Asp". The record is from RNAcentral. Lineage: Eukaryota; Metazoa; Nematoda; Chromadorea; Rhabditida; Neodiplogasteridae.
AAAAUCUUAGUAUAAAGAGUAUAGUUUAUUGUCAAUAAAUAGGUUAAAGAUUUUA